AGAGUUAAAAAGUACGUGAAACCGUUAAAAGGGAAGCAAAUGGCACUAGCAUUUGUCGCCGUCAUAAUCAAUCAUUUGGGUAACCUGCCAGAUAGUGUAGGGAGUGUCAAAGCCUCUUGCUGUUUGUACAGGCCCUCAAUUGAUGCACUUGUGGCGAAAGACAGGUCAACAUCAGUUCGGACUGAGACACACGCGCGUUAGGAAGGUGGCUUGCAGCUUCGGUUGUAAGUGUUAUAGCCUAUCGUGAAUGUCUCGGGCUGGACUGAGGAGAUCGCAGGUCGUGCCCUCUGGGCUAGUUUUGGUUCGGCUGAUGUAGCGGAUCUGCUCCACUUGCACAAGUAAGUUGUGUGGAUCCAAGCGCGUCACUCGGAUAUCAAAACGUAACGACCUUCGGAUGUUGGCGAAAUGGUGUUAUCUGACC
Molecule: ribosomal RNA, 421 nt
Filed under: uncultured fungus
Lineage: Eukaryota; Fungi
Description: eukaryotic LSU rRNA
Source: RNAcentral